Molecule: unclassified non-coding RNA, 387 nt
Filed under: soil metagenome
Description: partial contains 5.8S ribosomal RNA, internal transcribed spacer 2, and large subunit ribosomal RNA
Rfam family: 5.8S ribosomal RNA (bases 1-120)
Source: RNAcentral
GAUGAAGAACGCAGCGAAAUGCGAUAAGUAAUGUGAAUUGCAGAAUUCAGUGAAUCAUCGAAUCUUUGAACGCACCUUGCACCCUUUGGCAUUCCGAAGGGUAUGCUCGUUUGAGUGUCAUUGUACUCUCACACUCUCCGAUCCUAUGGAUUCGGGGAGCGGUGGACUUGGGUAUUGCUGCCUUUCCUUGUGGCUCACCUCAAAUGUGUCAGUGCACCUCUUGGUUGGACAUAGUACGGCGUGAUAAGUGUCUUCGCCGGCACCUCGCAAGAGGGUGGCCGAUCGGGAGCUCUGUGCUUUCAAACCGUCUUCGGACAAUUUCUGACAACUUGACCUCAAAUCGAGUAGGACUACCCGCUGAACUUAAGCAUAUCAAUAAGCGGAGGA